UAGAAUGUGGUGUAAUGUGGAAGCACGGGGAAUUUUGAAUUCUCAGGUGCGGGUUCAAUACCCGUGUUUCUAG
Molecule: transfer RNA, 73 nt
Filed under: Bradypus torquatus (Maned three-toed sloth)
Lineage: Eukaryota; Metazoa; Chordata; Mammalia; Pilosa; Bradypodidae
Description: tRNA-Gln
Rfam family: tRNA
About the family: Transfer RNA (tRNA) molecules are approximately 80 nucleotides in length. Their secondary structure includes four short double-helical elements and three loops (D, anti-codon, and T loops).
Source: RNAcentral